CAUUAUUGUUCGUUUGUUUCCGUUAAUGGGGACCUGCGGAACGAUCAUU
Molecule: ribosomal RNA, 49 nt
Filed under: Solanum lycopersicum (tomato)
Lineage: Eukaryota; Viridiplantae; Streptophyta; Magnoliopsida; Solanales; Solanaceae
Description: partial 18S ribosomal RNA
Source: RNAcentral